GGCCCCGGGGUGUGACACGUGUGGUUGCAAACCUCAAGACGCAGGGUGAUACCUGCCGGGGCUU
This 64-nucleotide transfer RNA is filed under the name Papurana kreffti (San Cristobal treefrog). Its description in RNAcentral is "tRNA-Cys". The record is from RNAcentral. Lineage: Eukaryota; Metazoa; Chordata; Amphibia; Anura; Ranidae.